RNAcentral lists this long non-coding RNA (273 nucleotides) under Capsicum annuum. RNAcentral's name for it is "long non-coding RNA (CANN_LNC011261)". The record is from RNAcentral. Lineage: Eukaryota; Viridiplantae; Streptophyta; Magnoliopsida; Solanales; Solanaceae.
AGGAAUGAUAGUAUGACCGGUUCCUACAUCAUGUGGGGAUACAACACCCAAAGGUGAUUAGCGGAGUGAACACUAGCAUGUACUCAGGGAUAAAGAUAAGAUAAUUUCAUUAUUCAAAACCAAACCAAAUAACUAUAUAAAAUCAUACAUAUACAUAUAUAUCGUGCUGGGUUAGGGAAUCGGGUUUAGCAUGCAUUUAAAACUUUAACCUGGGCUGAGUAACUUGAUUGUCCUAAAACCAUCUAGGGCUAUAUGGGUUCAGCCUCCCCUGCU